RNAcentral lists this long non-coding RNA (221 nucleotides) under Malus domestica (apple). RNAcentral describes it as "long non-coding RNA (MDOM_LNC017810)". The record is from RNAcentral. Lineage: Eukaryota; Viridiplantae; Streptophyta; Magnoliopsida; Rosales; Rosaceae.
AAGGGGUGGCUGUGGGGGGUUUUCCUUGAUAUGUCCUUGCCUCGGCGGAGGCAUGGUUGUAAGCUUGUGCCAUCACCUCAAAGUAAGUCUUCCAAGUGUUAGCAUUGAUCAUGUACUUGAAGAAACAAUCACGUAGGCCUGCCGUGAAGGCCUUGAGGGCGGUCUUGUCAUCUGCCUCAGCGCAGUGAGAAUACUCAUGGCUGAAACGACCGGUAUACUCU